This is a non-coding RNA of Myotis lucifugus (little brown bat), 105 nucleotides long. NCBI's taxonomy places the organism in Eukaryota, Metazoa, Chordata, Mammalia, Chiroptera, Vespertilionidae. The record is from Rfam.
UAUUUUUUAAAAAUGUAUUAUGGUGCUCGCUUCGGGAUGAUGCAGAGAUUAGCUUGGCCCCUGCGCAAGGAUGACACGCAAAUUCGUGAAGCGUUCCAUAUUUUU